CUGGCGGCGUGCCUAAUACAUGCAAGUCGAACGGUCUUUCUAUGGAAGCUUGCUUCCACUGAGAAGAUAGUGGCGAAACGGGUGAGUAACACGUGGGGUAACCUGCCCAUAAGAGGGGGGAGUAACAUCCGGAAACGGGUGCUAAUACCGCAUAGUUUUCUUGAUCGCAUGAUCGGGAAAGGAAAGACGGCCUUUGUGCUGUCGCUUAUGGAUGGACCCGCGGCGUAUUAGUUAGUUGGUGAGGUAACGGCUCACCAAGACGAUGAUACGUAGCCGACCUGAGAGGGUGAUCGGCCACAUUGGGACUGAGACACGGCCCAAACUCCUACGGGAGGCAGCAGUAGGGAAUCUUCCGCAAUGGACGAAAGUCUGACGGAGCAACGCCGCGUGAGUGAAGAAGGUUUUUCCGGGAUCGUAAAACUCUGUUGUCAGAGAAGAACAAGUUGGAGAGUAACUGCUCCAGCCUUGACGGUAUCUGACCAGAAAGCCACGGCUAACUACGUGCCAGCAGCAGC
This 515-nucleotide ribosomal RNA is filed under the name uncultured bacterium. RNAcentral describes it as "bacterial SSU rRNA". It matches the Rfam family "Bacterial small subunit ribosomal RNA", at positions 36 to 518 of the family's 1533-position model. The record is from RNAcentral.